Molecule: ribosomal RNA, 429 nt
Filed under: Bacteroidota bacterium
Lineage: Bacteria; Pseudomonadati; Bacteroidota
Description: Bacteroidetes bacterium partial 16S ribosomal RNA
Rfam family: Bacterial small subunit ribosomal RNA
Source: RNAcentral
UAGGGAAUCUUCCGCAAUGGACGCAAGUCUGACGGAGCAACGCCGCGUGAGUGAAGAAGGAUUUCGGUUUGUAAAACUCUGUUGUUAGAGAAGAACAGCGCAUAGAGUAACUGUUAUGCGUGUGACGGUAUCUAACCAGAAAGCCACGGCUAACUACGUGCCAGCAGCCGCGGUAAUACGUAGGUGGCAAGCGUUGUCCGGAUUUAUUGGGCGUAAAGCGAGCGCAGGCGGUCAAUUAAGUCUGAUGUGAAAGCCCCCGGCUCAACCGGGGAGGGUCAUUGGAAACUGGUUGACUUGAGUGCAGAAGAGGAGAGUGGAAUUCCAUGUGUAGCGGUGAAAUGCGUAGAUAUAUGGAGGAACACCAGUGGCGAAGGCGACUCUCUGGUCUGUAACUGACGCUGAGGCUCGAAAGCGUGGGUAGCAAACAGG